RNAcentral lists this transfer RNA (79 nucleotides) under Halolamina pelagica. RNAcentral's name for it is "tRNA-Val". Lineage: Archaea; Methanobacteriati; Methanobacteriota; Halobacteria; Halobacteriales; Haloferacaceae. The record is from RNAcentral.
CGUCGACGUGGAACAGCCCCGAAUCGACGGCCUUCACCCGGCCGAGGUGGUUGCGCGCGAUCGUCGCGUUCGUCGGCGC